RNAcentral lists this ribosomal RNA (254 nucleotides) under uncultured bacterium. RNAcentral describes it as "partial 16S ribosomal RNA". It matches the Rfam family "Bacterial small subunit ribosomal RNA", at positions 524 to 776 of the family's 1533-position model. The record is from RNAcentral.
UACAGAGGGGGCAAGCGUUGUUCGGAAUUACUGGGCGUAAAGGGCGCGUAGGCGGCCGCCUAAGUCAGACGUGAAAUCCCUCGGCUCAACCGGGGAACUGCGUCUGAUACUGGGUGGCUUGAGUUUGGGAGAGGGAUGCGGAAUUCCAGGUGUAGCGGUGAAAUGCGUAGAUAUCUGGAGGAACACCGGUGGCGAAGGCGGCAUCCUGGACCAACACUGACGCUGAGUGAGCGAAAGCCAGGGGAGCAAACAGG